UGGGGAAUUUUGGACAAUGGGCGCAAGCCUGAUCCAGCCAUGCCGCGUGCGGGAAGAAGGCCUUCGGGUUGUAAACCGCUUUUGUCAGGGAAGAAAUCUUCUGAGUUAAUACCUCGGGAGGAUGACGGUACCUGAAGAAUAAGCACCGGCUAACUACGUGCCAGCAGCCGCGGUAAUACGUAGGGUGCAAGCGUUAAUCGGAAUUACUGGGCGUAAAGCGUGCGCAGGCGGUUUUGUAAGACAGAGGUGAAAUCCCCGGGCUCAACCUGGGAACUGCCUUUGUGACUGCAAGGCUUGAGUGCGGCAGAGGGGGAUGGAAUUCCGCGUGUAGCAGUGAAAUGCGUAGAUAUGCGGAGGAACACCGAUGGCGAAGGCAAUCCCCUGGGCCUGCACUGACGCUCAUGCACGAAAGCGUGGGGAGCAAACAGGAUUAGAUACCCUGGUAGUCACGCCCUAAACGAUGUCAACUGGUUGUUGGGAAGGUUCCUUCUCAGUAACGUAGCUAACGCGUGAAGUUGACCGCCUGGGGAGUACGGCCGCAAGGUUGAAA
RNAcentral lists this ribosomal RNA (550 nucleotides) under uncultured bacterium. Its description in RNAcentral is "partial 16S ribosomal RNA". It matches the Rfam family "Bacterial small subunit ribosomal RNA", at positions 355 to 899 of the family's 1533-position model. The record is from RNAcentral.